AUGUCGGCGGCCGGCGAUGACAAGCGUUGUGGCACCAAAAGAAAGGCCGCCGGCUCCGGCGAGGCGGCGCCGGCCGACGUCGCGACGCUGCGGCAGGCGAUCAUGGCGCAUCUGCUAACCUUCCCCGAGGCGGCGGCGCUGGACGCACGGCAGCUGGACGAGGCAGCCGACAGGAUCGUCAGGGAGUCGGACCCCUCCACCGCGACCCCGACCGGCGAAGGCAUGGUUCGCUACGACGACAAACGCAUCAGCUCAGCCUUCAACCUGGACAGCUGGCUGGAGCUCCACGCCGCCGAGGACCUCCCGCCCAACGGGGAGUUCCCGCCAGGGUGGCUCGACGAGCGGAGGCGGAUGCUGGACGAGGAGAUGCGGCCGGAGAAGAGGGGCGAGCCCAACCACUCGCGAUUCCACCUAGCCAAGAUGCGCGUCGACUUGCUCACCAAGGGCUACGUCGAGUUCCCCAAGCCGUACGUCGACUACACACCCCCCUUCCCGGUCUCUGAGCGCAGGCAGAGCAAGGACAUCGCAACAGAGGUGGUGGCUGGAUGA
This 549-nucleotide ribosomal RNA is filed under the name Triticum aestivum (bread wheat). RNAcentral describes it as "partial small subunit ribosomal RNA". The record is from RNAcentral. Lineage: Eukaryota; Viridiplantae; Streptophyta; Magnoliopsida; Poales; Poaceae.